UACCGGCAGUUCAAGUUGCAACCAACAUUAUUGGGUCUAAAACAUCCGUAGCUUGUUUGAUAAGUCUCUUGUGAAAUCUGAUAUCUCAAAUAUCAGGCGUGCAAGAGAUACUGUUAAGCUAGAGAUCGGUAGGUGUAAGAAGUACGCGAGAGGUAGUGGUUAAAUACGUUAAUCUUUCGUGGACUCACAAUUAGCGAAGGCAUCUUACAAGAACGAAUCUGACAGUGAGGGAUGAAGGCUAGGGGCGCAAAACGG
This 255-nucleotide ribosomal RNA is filed under the name uncultured bacterium. RNAcentral describes it as "partial 16S ribosomal RNA". It matches the Rfam family "Archaeal small subunit ribosomal RNA", at positions 474 to 727 of the family's 1478-position model. The record is from RNAcentral.